GACGAACGCUGGCGGCGUGCUUAACACAUGCAAGUCGAACGGAAAGGCCCUGCUUUUGUGGGGUGCUCGAGUGGCGAACGGGUGAGUAACACGUGAGUAACCUGCCCUUGACUUUGGGAUAACUUCAGGAAACUGGGGCUAAUACCGGAUAGGAGCUCCUGCUGCAUGGUGGGGGUUGGAAAGUUUCGGCGGUUGGGGAUGGACUCGCGGCUUAUCAGCUUGUUGGUGGGGUAGUGGCUUACCAAGGCUUUGACGGGUAGCCGGCCUGAGAGGGUGACCGGCGGGAUGGGGGCGGAGGGACGGGCGAGAGGGCUGCGGGGGGCGGCAGGGGGGAAGAUUGCGCAAUGGGCGGAGGCCGGAUGCAGGAACGCCGCGGGCGGGAUGACGGCCUUCGGGUUGUAAACCGCUUUCGCCUGUGACGAAGCGUGAGUGACGGUAAUGGGUAAAGAAGCACCGGCUAACUACGUG
This 468-nucleotide ribosomal RNA is filed under the name uncultured bacterium. RNAcentral's name for it is "partial 16S ribosomal RNA". It matches the Rfam family "Bacterial small subunit ribosomal RNA", at positions 28 to 507 of the family's 1533-position model. The record is from RNAcentral.